Non-coding RNA from Vicugna pacos (alpaca), 1312 nucleotides. The record is from RefSeq and is a predicted model, not a curated record. NCBI's taxonomy places the organism in Eukaryota, Metazoa, Chordata, Mammalia, Artiodactyla, Camelidae.
UGAUGUGCUGUAUGUGACCUGGAGAUCCAGGGAAGCUGGUGGUAUAAUCUGGUUCAAGUCCAAAGGCCUGAGAAUUUGGAGGACUGAUGGUUCAAGUCCCCAAAGGAGUCGAAGAAUCAGAGCCAGGAGAGUCCAAGUCUGAGAGCAGGAGAAGAUGGAUGAAUUCACGCUUCCUCCGCCAUGUCUGAUCCCGGUAAAGCCAUUUCAGCAGCGGCGGGAGAGAGCAGCCUGACUGCAGGGAGUUGAGGAGGUUCACGGGGCUGAAACGAGGUUGGGGGGUGGCUAGCACUUGCCAGGCUACCUCUGCUGCCCACUUGGUAUUGCAUGGACACCUUCCCCAACCUUCACACUUGGUUUUCUUCCUCUGCCAGAAGUUCAUCUCCUUAUGGGCUGGACUUGCAACGUUCCUGAAUCGUCUUUGUUUUGCAUUUCUACCAGAAGCCCUUGGUGACGCCACACAUUAUGUUUAGGGAUAACGCUAACACCAGGUCGCUGUGAGGCUAAACCAUGAAACUGGCAGCGGCAGCGCCUCUCGCCGCGGGGGCGGCCUUCCCAGCCGGGAACGGCGGGGCGGGGCGGGGCGCGGGGCCGCUGUUCUCCCGCCCUCGCUGCCCGGUGCCUCCAGUGUCGGCCCAGUUCCCAGCCAGUGCGGACUUCCCUUUCCCUCCCAGAGUCUUCUUUCUUGACUGUGGCCAUCCAGGAAUGCUUGCCCCCGGUGACUGGGGGAGAUUUAGGAGAUUAGGGAGAGCAGAGAAACAAAGCGUGAAUUCCCGCCGGGGCUGCACAGGUGUCCUCUCGGCGUCUCUGCCGGGAUUCUCAAAACAUCUCGCACCAGGAGUGCGCCCUCCACUCGCUGGUUCUUGCGAUCUUAUUUGGACGCCAGGACAGCUCCUCGUGUUCUCUCUGAAGCAACGGUCUUCUCUGUCAGGGAACGCCGUCUUCCUCUACCAAGCAUUCAGCUUCGGGAUAGACACAUACAGAGGUGUGAGGAAGGCAGGCGGCAACCAGCCAGCCAGCCAGCCAGCGCAGCAGAAUAAACCCUGUUAACCACUGAGGUGACAGCAUUUCACUGGGACUACAUGUCACCCUCCCACACGCUGACCCCUGUGUUGGAGUAACUUCACCUCGGAUGUUGCCCUCUCAAGACUCCAGGGUCCCCACUGGCAGAGCUACCUGGGAUUCAGCGGCCAAGUGGCGUCCCAGCCCCGGCACCCCGAAGCGUGCACGGAAGAGGAGCUCUGAAGCUGACAGACACUAGCUUAGUAACUGGCGCCCCCGCCCUCCUCUCCUGUUUCCUACACACCCGUGCUCA